RNAcentral lists this non-coding RNA (45 nucleotides) under Trichobilharzia regenti. The record is from RNAcentral. Lineage: Eukaryota; Metazoa; Platyhelminthes; Trematoda; Strigeidida; Schistosomatidae.
ACUCCGAUGAUGAGUCCCAAAUAGGACGAAAUGCGCAUCGUGGUU